RNAcentral lists this ribosomal RNA (468 nucleotides) under uncultured bacterium. Its description in RNAcentral is "partial 16S ribosomal RNA". It matches the Rfam family "Bacterial small subunit ribosomal RNA", at positions 28 to 507 of the family's 1533-position model. The record is from RNAcentral.
GACGAACGCUGGCGGCGUGCUUAACACAUGCAAGUCGAACGGAAAGGCCCUGCUUUUGUGGGGUGCUCGAGUGGCGAACGGGUGAGUAACACGUGAGUAACCUGCCCUUGACUUUGGGAUAACUCCAGGAAACUGGGGCUAAUACCGGAUAUGAGCUCCUGCUGCAUGGUGGGGGUUGGAAAGUUUCGGCGGUUGGGGAUGGACUCGCGGCUUAUCAGCUUGUUGGUGGGGUAGUGGCUUACCAAGGCUUUGACGGGUAGCCGGCCUGAGAGGGUGACCGGCCACAUUGGGACUGAGAUACGGCCCAGACUCCUACGGGAGGCAGCAGUGGAGAAUAUUGCACAAUGGGCGGAAGCCUGAUGCAGCAACGCCGCGUGCGGGAUGACGGCCUUCGGGUUGUAAACCGCUUUCGCCUGUGACGAAGCGUGAGUGACGGUAAUGGGUAAAGAAGCACCGGCUAACUACGUG